RNAcentral lists this ribosomal RNA (553 nucleotides) under uncultured bacterium. RNAcentral describes it as "partial 16S ribosomal RNA". It matches the Rfam family "Bacterial small subunit ribosomal RNA", at positions 355 to 898 of the family's 1533-position model. The record is from RNAcentral.
UAGGGAAUCUUCGGCAAUGGGGGCAACCCUGACCGAGCAACGCCGCGUGAGUGAAGAAGGUUUUCGGAUCGUAAAGCUCUGUUGUAAGUCAAGAACGGGUGUGAGAGUGGAAAGUUCACACUGUGACGGUAGCUUACCAGAAAGGGACGGCUAACUACGUGCCAGCAGCCGCGGUAAUACGUAGGUCCCGAGCGUUGUCCGGAUUUAUUGGGCGUAAAGCGAGCGCAGGCGGUUUGAUAAGUCUGAAGUUAAAGGCUGUGGCUCAACCAUAGUUCGCUUUGGAAACUGUCAAACUUGAGUGCAGAAGGGGAGAGUGGAAUUCCAUGUGUAGCGGUGAAAUGCGUAGAUAUAUGGAGGAACACCGGUGGCGAAAGCGGCUCUCUGGUCUGUAACUGACGCUGAGGCUCGAAAGCGUGGGGAGCGAACAGGAUUAGAUACCCUGGUAGUCCACGCCGUAAACGAUGAGUGCUAGGUGUUGGAUCCUUUCCGGGAUUCAGUGCCGAAGCUAACGCAUUAAGCACUCCCGCCUGGGGAGUACGACCGCAAGGUUGAA